AUUGAACGCUGGCGGCAUGCUUUACACAUGCAAGUCGAACGGCAGCGCGGGCUUUGGCCUGGCGGCGAGUGGCGAACGGGUGAGUAAUGCAUCUGAACGUGCCCAGUAGUGGGGGAUAGCCCGGCGAAAGCCGGAUUAAUGCCGCAUACGACCUGAGGGUGAAAGCGGGGGACCGAAAGGCCUCGCGCUAUUGGAGCGGCCGAUGUCGGAGUAGCUAGUUGGUGGGGUAAAGGCUUACCAAGGCGACGAUGCGUAGCUGGUCUGAGAGGACGACCAGCCACACUGGGGCUGAGACACGGCCCAGACUCCUACGGGAGGCAGCAGUGGGGAAUUUUGGACAAUGGGGGCAACCCUGAUCCAGCCAUGCCGCGUGCGGGAAGAAGGCCUUCGGGUUGUAAACCGCUUUUGUUCGGGAAGAAAUCCUGUGGGCUAAUACCCCGGGGGGAUGACGGUACCGGAAGAAUAAGCACCGGCUAACUACGUG
RNAcentral lists this ribosomal RNA (484 nucleotides) under uncultured bacterium. Its description in RNAcentral is "partial 16S ribosomal RNA". It matches the Rfam family "Bacterial small subunit ribosomal RNA", at positions 28 to 507 of the family's 1533-position model. The record is from RNAcentral.